AGCGCUGACCCACCUUAAGGAUA
Molecule: non-coding RNA, 23 nt
Filed under: Arabidopsis thaliana (thale cress)
Lineage: Eukaryota; Viridiplantae; Streptophyta; Magnoliopsida; Brassicales; Brassicaceae
Source: RNAcentral